Cucumis sativus (cucumber) is the source of this 149-nucleotide long non-coding RNA. RefSeq lists it as uncharacterized. The transcript has 3 exons. Lineage: Eukaryota; Viridiplantae; Streptophyta; Magnoliopsida; Cucurbitales; Cucurbitaceae. The record is from RefSeq and is a predicted model, not a curated record.
UUUUGGGCCGGUUCAAGCGAUUUCGGUUGGUUUUUCAGCCGGUUCGAAGUUUUUGGGAGUGGUUCUGUACUACACCAAAGUAAUUAUGUAAUAAUUUAGUACUUAGCUUAAUUUAGGAGCCAAAAAUCAGUCCAUUUUAGGGUGUUUUU